This 464-nucleotide ribosomal RNA is filed under the name uncultured bacterium. Its description in RNAcentral is "partial 16S ribosomal RNA". It matches the Rfam family "Bacterial small subunit ribosomal RNA", at positions 339 to 795 of the family's 1533-position model. The record is from RNAcentral.
CUACGGGGUGCUCCAGUGGGGAAUUUUGGACAAUGGGCGCAAGCCUGAUCCAGCCAUUCCGCGUGAGUGAAGAAGGCCUUCGGGUUGUAAAGCUCUUUCGCAAGGGAAGAAAACUUAUCCUCUAACAUAGGGUGAGGUUGACGGUACCUUGAUAAGAAGCACCGGCUAACUACGUGCCAGCAGCCGCGGUAAUACGUAGGGUGCGAGCGUUAAUCGGAAUUACUGGGCGUAAAGCGUGCGCAGGCUGUUUUGUAAGUCAGAUGUGAAAUCCCCGAGCUCAACUUGGGAACUGCGUUUGAAACUACAAGACUGGAAUAUGGCAGAGGGGGGUAGAAUUACAUGUGUAGCAGUGAAAUGCGUAGAGAUGUGGAGGAAUACCAAUGGCGAAGGCAGCCCCCUGGGAUAAUAUUGACGCUCAUGCACGAAAGCGUGGGGAGCAAACAGGAUUAGAUACCCCAGUAGUC